Astatotilapia calliptera (eastern happy) is the source of this 768-nucleotide long non-coding RNA. NCBI's taxonomy places the organism in Eukaryota, Metazoa, Chordata, Actinopteri, Cichliformes, Cichlidae. The record is from Ensembl.
AGGGCACCAUUAACUUUUAUAUAUGUAGUGUUUCAUGUCCACUGUAAAAGUGUUACUGCAUGAAUGUAAAUAUAUUACCACCCCUGCCUACACAUGCAGUGAAACCAUAUCAAUAUUGCUAUUAUGCCAAUACCAUUAGUCACUGGGAUUUUAAGUCUCUUGGGAUUGGGAUCAAAAGUCUAAUGGAAAGUGAAAGAUAAAGUUUUUUUGCUUUUUUGUUUUUGCUUUGAGCGGCGCAGCGGUUCGGCUUGUUCUGGAUUCGAUUGUAGUGGGAAAUGAAGCUCGUCCCGGUGUUUGUGAUCCUCGCUCACAUUUCCCAGCAUGCCUCAGGGGUGGAGGUGGAGGUCUGUGAGGGGGAGGACUCUGCGCUACUGCCCUGUCAGAACAUCAGUCCAGAAGGAAGCCCUGCAGACUGGAGACCUGAGCCUCACUCUGAGAAACCCUACAGUCUCUGACAGUGGAACCUACAUCUGCACCACCCGCAGCUUCGGAGAGGACAGGAACACAACUGAAGUACAGUUGAAGGUCAAAGGACCUUCUCCAGUCUGGGUCAAAGUUGUCCCAGCUGUCCUGAUUCCCCUGGUUCUCUUGGCUGCUGCUGUUGCUGUCUUCAUGAGCCUUGUAUAUAAAAGGAUGAAGAAAACUGCAGAUUUUUGGCACGCCUUUCCUGAAACAGUCUUCCCACAGAUCUCUAUCCCCUCCCAGUCUUCCGUGCAAUAGUUUGCCAGCUCAAAGCAGUGGACGUGACAGAGGGUGCAGAAAGUGUCC